GAUGAAGAACGUAGUGAAAUGCGAUAAGUAAUGUGAAUUGCAGAAUUCAGUGAAUCAUCGAAUCUUUGAACGCACAUUGCGCCCCCUGGUAUUCCGGGGGGCAUGCCUGUCCGAGCGUCAUUACAACCCUCAAGCUCAGCUUGGUGUUGGGCCCCGCCGCCCCGGCGGGCCCUAAAGUCAGUGGCGGUGCCGUCCGGCUCCGAGCGUAGUAAUUCUUCUCGCUCUGGAGGUCCGUCGUGUGCUCGCCAGCAACCCCCAAUUUUUUUCAGGUUGACCUCGGAUCAGGUAGGGAUACCCGCUGAACUUAAGCAUAUCAAUAAGCGGAGGA
Molecule: unclassified non-coding RNA, 328 nt
Filed under: soil metagenome
Description: partial contains 5.8S ribosomal RNA, internal transcribed spacer 2, and large subunit ribosomal RNA
Rfam family: 5.8S ribosomal RNA (bases 1-120)
Source: RNAcentral